This is a long non-coding RNA of Mustela erminea (ermine), 340 nucleotides long. RefSeq lists it as uncharacterized. NCBI's taxonomy places the organism in Eukaryota, Metazoa, Chordata, Mammalia, Carnivora, Mustelidae. The record is from RefSeq and is a predicted model, not a curated record. The transcript has 3 exons.
CAAGAGUUGGAUGCUCAACUGACUAAGCCACCCCGGAGCUCCGAAAUGGUUGUUUUUAAAUAAUUUUCACCAGUUUCACUGAGGGCACAGCAUGAUACUCUCCAGUUCCAUCCAUGUCAUUGCAAACGGACCAUCCAGAAGACCUGAAGUCAUCCUACUCCUGUGAGACUGUAGAAGACCUUAAAUAUACAUUCAGAGGGCACCUGGAUGGCUCAGUCGGUUAAGCCUCUUUAAAGCUCUUCCUGACCUCUCUUCAGGGAGCUAGCCUGAAGACUCUUUCCUUUGUGCUUUCUUCCUUGUGCUAUAGCAUAAGCCCAAAUAAAGCCUUGCUUGGAACUUC